This 475-nucleotide ribosomal RNA is filed under the name uncultured Lachnospiraceae bacterium. RNAcentral's name for it is "bacterial SSU rRNA". It matches the Rfam family "Bacterial small subunit ribosomal RNA", at positions 27 to 507 of the family's 1533-position model. The record is from RNAcentral. Lineage: Bacteria; Bacillati; Bacillota; Clostridia; Lachnospirales; Lachnospiraceae.
AGGAGUGAACGCUGGCGGCGUGCUUAACACGAUGCAGUCGAACGGACUAGGUAAUGAACCUAGUGAUUUAUCUGUUAGUGGCGGACGGGUGGAGUAACGCGUGGGUAACCGUGCCGUAUACAGGGGGAGUAACACUUAGAAAUAGGUGCUAAAACCGCAUAAGCGCACAGGAUCGCAUGGUCCGGUGUGAAAAACUCCGGUGGUAUACGAUGGACCCGCGUCUGAUUAGCUUGUUGGCGGGGUAGAGGCCCACCAAGGCGACGAUCAGUAGCCGGCCUGAGAGGGUGAACGGGCCACAUUGGGACUGAGACACGGCCCAAACUCCUACGGGAGGCAGCAGUGGGGAAUAUUGCACAAUGGGGGAAACCCUGAUGCAGCGACGCCGCGUGAGUGAAGAAGUAUUUCGGUAUGUAAAGCUCUAUCAGCAGGAAAGAAAAUGACGGUACCUGACUAAGAAGCCCCGGCUAACUACGUG